RNAcentral lists this transfer RNA (128 nucleotides) under Euroglyphus maynei. It matches the Rfam family "tRNA". From Rfam's summary of the family: Transfer RNA (tRNA) molecules are approximately 80 nucleotides in length. Their secondary structure includes four short double-helical elements and three loops (D, anti-codon, and T loops). Further hydrogen bonds mediate the characteristic L-shaped molecular structure. tRNAs have two regions of fundamental functional importance: the anti-codon, which is responsible for specific mRNA codon recognition, and the 3' end, to which the tRNAs corresponding amino acid is attached (by aminoacyl-tRNA synthetases). tRNAs cope with the degeneracy of the genetic code in two manners: having more than one tRNA (with a specific anti-codon) for a particular amino acid; and 'wobble' base-pairing, i.e. permitting non-standard base-pairing at the 3rd anti-codon position. Lineage: Eukaryota; Metazoa; Arthropoda; Arachnida; Sarcoptiformes; Pyroglyphidae. The record is from Rfam by way of RNAcentral.
CCGGGCUUAGCUCAGUUGGUAGUAGCGGUGGACUGUAGUUGUUAUAAAGGUAAAACUGCAAAAAAUUUGAUUGUGGUCAAACCUUUAAAGAUAUCCAUAGGUCGCUGGUUCAAGUCCGGCAGCCCGGA